GAUCCUGGCUCAGGACGAACGCUGGCGGCGCGCCUAACACAUGCAAGUCGAACGAGAGAGGGGGAGCUUGCUCCCUUGAUCGAGUGGCGAACGGGUGAGUAACGCGUGAGGAACCUGCCUCAAAGAGGGGGACAACAGUUGGAAACGACUGCUAAUACCGCAUAAGCCCACGGCUCGGCAUCGAGCAGAGGGAAAAGGAGUGAUCCGCUUUGAGAUGGCCUCGCGUCCGAUUAGCUAGUUGG
Molecule: ribosomal RNA, 242 nt
Filed under: uncultured bacterium
Lineage: Bacteria
Description: partial 16S ribosomal RNA
Rfam family: Bacterial small subunit ribosomal RNA
Source: RNAcentral